GCCAGACUCCUACGGGAGGCAGCAGUGGGGAAUAUUGCACAAUGGGGGAAACCCUGAUGCAGCGACGCCGCGUGAGUGAAGAAGUAUUUCGGUAUGUAAAGCUCUAUCAGCAGGGAAGAAGCAAGACGGUACCUGACUAAGAAGCCCCGGCUAACUACGUGCCAGCAGCCGCGGUAAUACGUAGGGGGCAAGCGUUAUCCGGAUUUACUGGGUGUAAAGGGAGCGUAGACGGUAUGGCAAGUCUGAAGUGAAAGCCCAGGGCUUAACCCUGGGACUGCUUUGGAAACUGUGCAGCUAGAGUGCAGGAGAGGCAGGCGGAAUUCCUAGUGUAGCGGUGAAAUGCGUAGAUAUUAGGAGGAACACCGGUGGCGAAGGCGGCCUGCUGGACUGUAACUGACGUUGAGGCUCGAAAGCGUGGGGAGCAAACAGGAUUAGAUACCCGUGUA
This 446-nucleotide ribosomal RNA is filed under the name uncultured bacterium. RNAcentral's name for it is "partial 16S ribosomal RNA". It matches the Rfam family "Bacterial small subunit ribosomal RNA", at positions 330 to 792 of the family's 1533-position model. The record is from RNAcentral.